GCGGAGGUGGCGGAACUGGCAGACGCGCUAGCUUGAGGUGCUAGUGGGAGCAAUCCCUUGGGGGUUCGAGUCCCCCUCUCCGCACCA
RNAcentral lists this transfer RNA (87 nucleotides) under Bryobacterales bacterium. RNAcentral describes it as "tRNA-Leu". It matches the Rfam family "tRNA". Rfam says of the family: Transfer RNA (tRNA) molecules are approximately 80 nucleotides in length. Their secondary structure includes four short double-helical elements and three loops (D, anti-codon, and T loops). RNAcentral also lists the same sequence under 2 other names. The record is from RNAcentral. Lineage: Bacteria; Pseudomonadati; Acidobacteriota; Terriglobia; Bryobacterales.